AAUGUCGGCCGUAACUAUAACGGUCCUAAGGUAGCGAAAUUCCUUGUCGGGUAAGUUCCGACCUGCACGAAUGGUGUAACGAUCUGGGCACUGUCUCGGCCACGAGCUCGGUGAAAUUGUAGUAGCGGUGAAGAUGCCGCUUACCCGCAACGGGACGAAAAGACCCCAUGAACCUUUACUAUAGCUUCACAUUGACAUUGGGUAAAAUAUGUGUAGGAUAGGUGGGAGACUUUGAA
Molecule: ribosomal RNA, 236 nt
Filed under: Alexandrium margalefii
Lineage: Eukaryota; Dinophyceae; Gonyaulacales; Pyrocystaceae
Description: partial Bacterial large subunit ribosomal RNA
Rfam family: Bacterial large subunit ribosomal RNA
Source: RNAcentral